CCGCCUGGGGAGUACGGCCGCAAGGUUAAAACUCAAAUGAAUUGACGGGGGCCCGCACAAGCGGUGGAGCAUGUGGUUUAAUUCGAUGCAACGCGAAGAACCUUACCUGGUCUUGACAUCCACAGAAGAAUCCAGAGAUGGAUUUGUGCCUUCGGGAACUGUGAGACAGGUGCUGCAUGGCUGUCGUCAGCUCGUGUUGUGAAAUGUUGGGUUAAGUCCCGCAACGAGCGCAACCCUUAUCCUUUGUUGCCAGCGAUUAGGUCGGGAACUCAAAGGAGACUGCCAGUGAUAAACUGGAGGAAGGUGGGGAUGACGUCAAGUCAUCAUGGCCCUUACGACCAGGGCUACACACGUGCUACAAUGGCGCAUACAAAGAGAAGCGACCUCGCGAGAGCAAGCGGACCUCAUAAAGUGCGUCGUAGUCCGGAUUGGAGUCUGCAACUCGACUCCAUGAAGUCGGAAUCGCUAGUAAUCGUGGAUCAGAAUGCCACGGUGAAUACGUUCCCGGGCCUUGUACACACCGCCCGUCACACCAUGGGAGUGGGUUGCAAAAGAAGUAGGUAGCUUAACCUUCGGGAGGGCGCUUACCACUUUGUGAUUCAUGACUGGGGUGAAGUCGUAACAAGGUAACCGUAGGGGAACCUGCGGUUGGAUCACCUCCUUA
RNAcentral lists this ribosomal RNA (664 nucleotides) under Salmonella enterica subsp. enterica serovar Typhimurium. Its description in RNAcentral is "bacterial SSU rRNA". It matches the Rfam family "Bacterial small subunit ribosomal RNA", at positions 869 to 1533 of the family's 1533-position model. Lineage: Bacteria; Pseudomonadati; Pseudomonadota; Gammaproteobacteria; Enterobacterales; Enterobacteriaceae. The record is from RNAcentral. RNAcentral also lists the same sequence under 1 other name.